Molecule: long non-coding RNA, 367 nt
Filed under: Dasypus novemcinctus (nine-banded armadillo)
Lineage: Eukaryota; Metazoa; Chordata; Mammalia; Cingulata; Dasypodidae
Description: lncRNA (ENSDNOG00000052960.1)
Source: RNAcentral
GCACACACAAGAAUUCACCUUCAGAAAACUGAUACUUAAAAGAAUAUUUAUCUAUAUAAGCAUACCUUUGGGAGUAUACAUGCCUUGCUGCAUAGAACCUCCAGGUUCAAAAACAGGAGCUUUAAAAUCAGCUACAGCUGAUAAAACUGAUUCAAAGCUAUAGCUGCCUGGAAUAAUGCCACUUUUGGGAUUGGGAUUUUCUGGAAUGAGGUCCAGCAACGAACUAUGUGUUCUGUCAUUCAUACACAGCUGGGCUACCAUCUCCGCCCGGAGAAUCUCAUCAUCAGACAUUCCUAAAAUAAUUUAAAAUAGAACUAAUAAAUCUGAAUAAAUACAAAUUAUAAAGAAACAACUUACCCCAUAUUUU